CCUACGGGAGGCAGCAGUGGGGAAUUUUGGACAAUGGGCGAAAGCCUGAUCCAGCAAUGCCGCGUGAGUGAAGAAGGCCUUCGGGUUGUAAAGCUCUUUUGUCAGGGAAGAAACGGUGAGGGCUAAUAUCCCUUGCUAAUGACGGUACCUGAAGAAUAAGCACCGGCUAACUACGUGCCAGCAGCCGCGGUAAUACGUAGGGUGCAAGCGUUAAUCGGAAUUACUGGGCGUAAAGCGUGCGCAGGCGGUUUUGUAAGUCUGUCGUGAAAUCCCCGGGCUCAACCUGGGAAUUGCGAUGGAGACUGCAAGGCUAGAAUCUGGCAGAGGGGGGUAGAAUUCCACGUGUAGCAGUGAAAUGCGUAGAGAUGUGGAGGAACACCGAUGGCGAAGGCAGCCCCCUGGGUCAAGAUUGACGCUCAUGCACGAAAGCGUGGGGAGCAAACAGGAUUAGAUACCCUGGUAGUCCACGCCCUAAACGAUGUCUACUAGUUGUACGGUUUUAAUUAACUUGGUAACGCAGCUACGCGUGAGUAGACCGCCGUCGGGAGGUACGGUCGCGAGAAGUAAACGUACGAAGAAGUAGACGGCGUGAGACGUGACCGACGGACGACGACGAGGGAGGAGG
Molecule: ribosomal RNA, 625 nt
Filed under: uncultured bacterium
Lineage: Bacteria
Description: bacterial SSU rRNA
Rfam family: Bacterial small subunit ribosomal RNA (bases 1-540)
Source: RNAcentral